AACGAACGCUGGCGGCAUGCCUAACACAUGCAAGUCGAACGAGACCUUCGGGUCUAGUGGCGCACGGGUGCGUAACGCGUGGGAACCUGCCCUUAGGUUCGGAAUAACUCCCCGAAAGGGGUGCUAAUACCGGAUAAUGUCUUCGGACCAAAGAUUUAUCGCCUUUGGAUGGGCCCGCGUUGGAUUAGCUAGUUGGUAGGGUAAAAGCCUACCAAGGCGACGAUCCAUAGCUGGUCUGAGAGGAUGAUCAGCCACACUGGGACUGAGACACGGCCCAGACUCCUACGGGAGGCAGCAGUGGGGAAUUUUGGACAAUGGGCGAAAGCCUGAUCCAGCAAUGCCGCGUGAGUGAUGAAGGCCUUAGGGCUGUAAAGCUCUUUUACCCGGGAUGAUAAUGACAGUACCGGGAGAAUAAGCUCCGGCUAACUCCGUG
RNAcentral lists this ribosomal RNA (433 nucleotides) under uncultured bacterium. RNAcentral's name for it is "partial 16S ribosomal RNA". It matches the Rfam family "Bacterial small subunit ribosomal RNA", at positions 29 to 507 of the family's 1533-position model. The record is from RNAcentral.